Molecule: long non-coding RNA, 6167 nt
Organism: Podarcis raffonei (Aeolian wall lizard)
Lineage: Eukaryota; Metazoa; Chordata; Lepidosauria; Squamata; Lacertidae
Exons: 2
Source: RefSeq, a predicted model, not a curated record
UUGUCCAGUGCACUAGGUGGACACUCACACUUAAGAACAUGAAAAGAGCCUGCUGGAUCAGGCCAAUGGCCUAUCUAGUCCAGCAUCCUCUUCUCACAGUGGCUGAUACUCUCCCUGUUCUACUAAAUCUUGCUCUUCUUGCCUCCACAGCUUCUUCCAUGCAUUAUCCAAAAUGCCCUGGCACCACAUUAUCCACAUUCUCCUGGCACCAUAUUUUUUGUCUUAUUUAACUGCUGACUUGGUUCCAAUAAUUUCGUGCUUUUGCUGCUGUUUGAUACUGUAUUUUUUGUUUCACACAAAUGUUGUUAGCUGUCUUGAAGGCAUUUGUGGUGAAAGGCAGGACAGAAACUUUAGAAAUAAAAUAGCGAAUCAAAUAGUCUGAAGGAAGCCAUACUUCUUUGACCCUUUUUCAUGGAGAAUAAGGCUAUUCCAUUGCUUCUGGCCAUGAUGGUUGUGUUCAAUCUCUGCUGUUGGAGGCAAGGGGCCUUUGACUACCAGUUGCUGGGAACUGAAUUUAUGACUUUUGUGUCUGUAGCAGGUAAGACCAACAUGGAGUGUCCUAAACUCCACCGUGGAAGAAAUGCAAGAAGACCUGAAAACCAGUAGCAGGUCAAAUGCUGCUAAUCUGUUGCAGUGACUUGACAUCUCUUGAUGUAAUGGUAUUGUUUUAUGCAAUGAGCAGUAACAGCUCCAAAGAAUAAUCAGUCUGUCUAUUGAUUUGGCUUGUUUAGUGUUACUGUGCCUAAUCAAUAAACCCCCAAAGUAUCUCGUCAUAAUGGCUGCUUUGCGUUCGCCUCUCUAGUAGCUUUCCAGCUGCCCAGAAAGUGGGAUCAAUACACUGAAAAUGCUCUUCCACACUCGUUCUUAUGAAAUGUUUGUAUUUCUCCAUGUGAGUUUUAUGCUGGUAAAUGGCUUUUCCAAUAUAUCAAGGGCUUUUUCUUUUUCUUUUAAAGGGUUCCAUAUUGCAAUGCAUACACCACACAAUCACCAGGCCAUGUGGGGGAUGCUUUCAAGGUCACUGGUGAAUUGACUAAAGGAGAUUCAUAAACCUUUCAAGUUAUACUGCGCAGAUAUAGAACAAAAGCCAGCUAAGUGGUUCCAAAUGGUCCGCAUGCAGAGAAGUUUGCAGGGUCAUUAGGGUUGGUUUCCAGCCCCUCCUGAGAUUUUUUUUAAAACAUCACAUGGUAAGUAGUACACCUUGAUAUCCUGGGUACUUUUGGAAAAGUCUGGGGAACUCAUCUGCAAUCCUGAAAAUCCUGUGCCAGAUAACAAAGAGACCAGGUGUAGCUAAUCUGGUGCCCUACAGAUUUUUUGAGCUACAACUCCCAUCAUCGCUACUAAUUGGUCAUGCAGGCUGGGGCUGAUGGGAGUUGUAGUCUGCAACUGUAAAGUGACUGUUUCCCCCCAUUGUCAGAUGAGUGCUUGACAAAAAUUUACUUGGAGACCCCAAAAUAAGGUUUACCAGUGACAUUUUGUAGCCCCCUACAAGUAGAGAGAGGUGUGUGAGUGUGCGUAGUAACUAGUCUACUGAACAAGGGCAAAAUGUACAUUAAUUGCUCAGACCACUUUUGCCUCUGGCCCCACCAACCGCUGGCAUGUUGCCCCAGAAGACUAUUUAGAAGGGAACACAACUUUCGAGCUGGGAAAUGUUUCCCACCCCUGGUCUCAAGAGUUCAUGCUUGAUUUGUGACUGUCGCCCUUUCUGUACUUCCAUGGUGCAGAUCUGGGAAGCUGGAAGACAGUGGAUUCCAUCUGCAAUCCUAACCACACUUAACCUGGGAGUGAGUCCCAUUCAAUUUAAUAGGACUUACUUCCGAGCAAACAUAGGAUUGCAGCGUUUGGCACCUUCUGGAAUGGAUGGCCUUCACUCUUUCCUUCACCCAUUAUUCAGAAGAGAGAGAGAGAGAAUUUGAUCUUACAAGGUAGUUUGUUUCGAUUCUUGUUCAUUGUUAGCCAUGCUCACUAUGGGGAAUCCAAAAUCAAAAGGAUGCUCUGCAUCAGAAAGGGCUGGAGAAAUUAUUUGUACUUGCUUCCACAAGCUCAGGAAAAUAAAGAGAUGCUAAAAAAAGAAAUGUGCUUCAGGGUCUUGUGCUGGCCUUUCAGAGAUUAAAAAGAUGCAUAAAUUGAUCUCAGCAUGCUACACGGGUCGUGGAUUGCUCUUUCGAAUCUUUGAAGAGCUGGUGUUAGUUUGCCCACCUUUGCAAAGUAAUAGGCCUUGGUUAAAGAAACUGCUCCUAUCUCUCUCUCUCUUGCAGGGGAUGGGGAAACUGGCUCCCCAUUUGUCAUGGGAACUCCGACUCCCACCAUCCCUAGCCAGCAUGGCCAAUGGUUAGGGAUUAUGAUAGUUGAGGUCGGACAACAUCUGGAGGGCCACAGGUUCCCCAUCCCUGCUGUACUGGAAGCAAAGGACGUAGGGCUGAUUCACACACAUGUUUCAUCACCCAGUGCCUGCAACAUCAGUGGUGGAUUUCAUGGUUGAAAGAGCCUUGGUAGUUGUGCCUGUUGCUCCAUUAGAUCCCUCAGGAUCUCUCCUCUUUCUCUAAGGCACUUUUGGCCAACUGGUCUCCUGCAGGCUGGAAUCAGCCCCUGAAACAGUUUUGUCCAACCCAUUGACAAAUCUACCAAAUUUUAGAUGAGGUGUAGGAAAAGGUUUGUAAGAAGCUUUAUCCUUAAGGAAAAUUGCAUUCAGGUGGCACAAGAAACUACCCACCCAUCCCUGAUAUUGUCAUUAUAUUAACAGACUGUGGAUCAGGAGGUGAGGCAUUUCAGCAGUGAACGAUUGCUAAAAGCACUAAGGAUGCCAUGAGUGGGAUUUGCUGGGCCAAAACAUAUAUGGUGGUAAAUAAAAAAUUGCCCCUGAGUAAAUUGGUUGAGUUUACUUUCAUUGUGCACCUGGGAUCAAGCCUUGGUUAUUUGAACAACUUCUUUGUUCUGCAGAUGAGCUUGCACAAUGUACCUUGUUAACUCCUGUUCCCCCUGCCUGCAGGACUAACCAAUGAUUCCAUAAAAAGAAAAAGACAUACUGGGUCUCCCCAUUGGAAGGCCAUUGUACCCUAGGGCUGGAAAGCUUCUCUUAAUUCCAGAAAGGGCAGGACUGGUUGUGGUUGCUUAAUGGACAGCAAAUAUCACUGCUGCCUGUAUAUAAGGGCUAAAUGCUGGUAAGAACAAAGUUAUAUUAAUCCCAUCAUUCUUCUAAAGAGUUUGGGCAGUGCACAAGGGCUCAUAUUGUCUUCACAACAACCCAGUGAGGUAGGGUAGGUGGAGUAAGCUUUGCAUUUGAACAGGGAUUUGCACCUCGUCUACUCAGUACAAGUCCAGCACUUACACUAAGAAGAGCCUUGUUGGAUCAAGCCAAUGGCCCAUCCAGUCCAGCAUCCUAUUCUCACAGUGGCCACCCAGGUGCCAAGUCCUCAAGCAGGACCUUAGCACAACAGCACUCUCUCCUGUGGUUUCCAGAAUCUAAUGUUCAGAAUCAUUACUGCCUCUUAUCAUGGACUGCUAGUAGCAAUUCAUAGCCUUUACCGCCAUGCAUUUGUGCAACCUCUUAAAGCCACCCAGGUUAGUGGCCACUGCUGCUUCCUGUCGGAGGGAGUUCCAUAGUUUAACUAUGUAUUGAAGUACUUUCUUUUUUCUGUCCUGAAUAUUCCAACAAUGGAUUCUUCCAAUGAACUUCAAACUACACUACAAUGGUUAUCAAAAGUUUGAGCAGUGGGUGGAAGAGCAACUGAAUAUGUGUUUUUAAUAAGUCACGAUGCAUUUCAAGCAAAUAUGUUCUUGAUCAGGGGACAUAGGAUAUGGGUGAAGCUGCUGUACCCUCCUCAUAAGUUUUCACUGUCCUCUCCUGUAUCUUCUCCAGAUAUAUAGGGUGUCCAGUCCUGGUGAGGUUGACCCAUGAACCAUGGAUGGCUUGGGAGAAAAGAGGUUUUGGCAAGAAAGAAGCAGACGGAAAAUGAGCAGGGACUGCAUGUCCAGUCGAAGAGCAGCUGCCCUUGAACCAGAUAACACAGGCAGUCCAUGAUAGGUCCUUCAGCACCAUGGACAGAUCCUAGCCAGCAAACAACCUGUCUCAUUAGAUUAUUAACUUCACCUGAACCAUUUAUAGCAGGGAUUGAGAACCCCUGUUCCUCUAGACCUGCCUUCACCAACCUGGUGCCUUCCAGAUGUUUCAGACUACAACUUGGAGAUCAAAGUUUCUGAUGGGCACCAGGUUGGCAAAGGUCACUCUAGAAAUUAUUGAAUUGCAACUCCCAUCAUCAUGACUAUCGGGCUGAUGGGAAUUGGUAUCCUGCAACAUCUAGAGAACCGUGGGUUCCCAACCCAAGCAUUACAACCUUCCUGGGCUAUAAGGGCCAGACUAUCCCUCCAUCCUGAGCAGUAGCCCUCUGGUCUGGAGCCAAGCAGCCCAUCACCCCGCUGUUCAUUCCUUCUGGGUGUAUUGGUGAGUGGGCGCCAGCAAGAAGCAGAGUCUUCCCUAGGAGGUGAUGGUGGUAUAUUCAGGCACAGUGAAUCUGUAUUUGUUGUCGUCAUCAGCAUCCUCCUAUUUUCCUUUCAAGAGAUUCAGAGUUGCUAACAAUAAAAUACAUGCAAUAGUAAACUGGAUAAGCCAACAACCCAUUUAAUAACAACUCAGCCUUAUAAAAAGGGAAACGGCUACAUUCUACCCAAGGCAAAUGGCAGGCAAACAUCAUUUCCCAUCCCUCUCGCCCAGAGACCUCCCUUAAGAAACAUGUUUUGGCCAACUGAUGAAAGUAACAUGAAGCCUGGCGGGCUUCUCUGAAAAGAGCAUCCCGCCGUGUCCCCUUAAAUGCAACCCAGCCUCCAGCCACCACCAUUCCUCUCUUUAGGAGAAAGCCUGCUGCAGGCAUGAAUUAAGAGUCCUGCCAAGGAGCUGUAUAUAACCCUGUUUUAUAAACGUUUCCAACGUCUGUUAGGGAUCCUGAAUGGGCUGUCAAAUUUCAACAGACAUCCCAUCAGCGGCUCUUCAUUUGACGUACAGUAAUUAAUUUAGAAAGAAAGGAUCUGAUCUUGCAUGUGUGAAUUACUCUUCAAGUAUGUUCAAUUAUACUGACUGCACCACUCCCUGUAAUCCCCUAGAGCCCCUUUCCAGAGUGUGUAUGUAGCAUGAGGGGUAAUCGUAUCCCAGUCCCUGGCUGUGCUUUGGCCAUCUGAUGGUCUCGCGCUCAGGAGCAAGCUGAUAAUCCCCCUUCCAGACAAUGCCCAUCAGGGAGGCUGCUUUUCACUCAGCCCUGCUGCAGACCCAACAAAACAGCCUGCGGGCACAUCGCAGGCCUGACCCACCGCGCCUCUCUCAACUUAUUUGGAUUGACGUCUCCUUUUGUCGAGGACCUGCUCCUCGCUGUUUGGCAGGCUCGGCCCUGCGCACAGCCUCUCUGCGUUGCCGUCAUGAGAUAAAAGUGGGCAUUUUCCCAUGUCAUUUGCUGUUUUGGUGCGAAGCUGUGAGCUGGGCUCUGCGAGAAGCUGCCCUUGCUGUGGCUCUUGCAUCUGCGCAGGGGUCCUUCUUUGUUAAUCAGGUGCAAAAGAAAGGAGGCAGACAAAAAUAAGAAUUGAGUGAGAUUUUAUUUUUUUAACAACCCUCCCCAUCAUGAAUUUUUCAGAAGCAUGCCAACGUCUUGGAACAGUGCAGGGGCUCUUUGGAUGUAGAUUUCCAAGAGACCUUGCAGAAAACAAAAUAAUAGGGAGGAGAGUUUCCUGUUAAUUUUAAUUCUUCAUCUUCACGUUUAGCUAUUGCCUUUGACCAUUUCAGUGCAAGCCUGUGUCUUUUCUUGAGCACCUGAAUCCCAUCCAUUCUGCUGACUCCACUUGACCUUCAACUUUGUCCUUUGUGCUAUGAGGUUUAUAGCUAAACACUAUUAUGUUUUAUUGCAAAAUGGAGGAUGAGGUGAAUGUGUGUCCCCCCCCCCUUACACACUCUAUCCCAGCAUUAGCAUCAUCCCAAGUGUAGCAUUUGUGUUCCUGCAGUUCUUUGGUAUAAAUAAAUACUCAAGCAAGAAGACCAAUCUGUGCUCCACUAGGAAUAAUAAAGAAAAAUAAUAUGCCAUUGAUUUUGCUUGGGGUGUCUAAAUGUGUUUUUAUGAUUGUAUAUGUUUAUUGCUUUUCCACACUAACGUCAUGAAUUCCAGGCAAUUAAAAAGGACAUGAAUUCCAAA